AGGACGAACGCUGGCGGCGUGCUUAACACAUGCAAGUCGAACGAGGUCCAUCCAGUCGCAAGACUGGUGAAGGCCGAGUGGCGAACGGGUGCGUAACACGUGAGAAACCUGUCCCGGUCUCUGGAAUAACAGUCGGAAACGACUGCUAAUACCGGAUGCCGUCGGAGCGUCGCAUGGCGCGCUGACGAAAGGGCUACCGGAUCGGGAGGGUCUCGCGGCCUAUCAGCUUGUUGGUGAGGUAACGGCUCACCAAGGCAUCGACGGGUAGCUGGUCUGAGAGGAUGAUCAGCCACACUGGGACUGAGACACGGCCCAGACUCCUACGGGAGGCAGCAGUGGGGAAUCUUGCACAAUGGGCGAAAGCCUGAUGCAGCAACGCCGCGUGCGGGAUGAAGGCCCUAGGGUUGUAAACCGCUUUCAGCAGGGAAGAAAUGACGGUACCUGUAGAAGAAGGUGCGGCCAACUACGUGCCAGCAGCCG
Molecule: ribosomal RNA, 480 nt
Filed under: uncultured bacterium
Lineage: Bacteria
Description: SSU rRNA
Rfam family: Bacterial small subunit ribosomal RNA
Source: RNAcentral